Molecule: long non-coding RNA, 12495 nt
Filed under: Homo sapiens (human)
Lineage: Eukaryota; Metazoa; Chordata; Mammalia; Primates; Hominidae
Description: non-protein coding MIR17HG:21
Rfam family: mir-19 microRNA precursor family (bases 1743-1821)
Source: RNAcentral
AUGUGCUGCCGGCCCGGGCUCCAUGAGCGUGGCGGGCACUUUGCAGUCUCGGGUGUUCCUGCCCGGUCUUCUGUUCCUAAACUGCAGCAAAGGGAAAAGGAACUGAAAAAGGCAGGCUCGUCGUUGCAAUAUCACCAAAAGAGAAAAUUAACGGCAUGCCAUCAGGACCACAGCAGUUGGAGAAACAACUCUUUAUCCCGGCUUGCAGCCACGAGGUCUUGAUUGGGGGAGGGGUGGUGAAGAAUAGUCUGUGGGCUGCUUUUUUUUUUUCCUUUUACUGGAGCUGUACAGUGGAGUCGGUGAUUGCUGCUGAUCAUAAUCAAGUAUUUUAGGAGCUUAUUUAGACAUGUAUCUGAUAGCUAAGGAUUUUUCAACUUUAUUCUCUUACGUAUUUUUCAACUGUAAAUUAUUGGGCUUUUAAAUCCUGCUAGUAUUGCUCGACUCUUACUCUCACAAAUGGAUGGAAUUAAUUGCUGUUAGGAGGUUGGAAAAUAGCAAAUAUAGAUUUGGACGGUGGUAGUAAUUUUGAGCAAAUAAUGUUUUAUCUUUUUUUUCCUUAUUUUUCCCUAUUCCAGUCAUACACGUGGACCUAACUGCACCAGUAGCUUUUCUGAGAAUACUUGCUGAAAAGGAAGUUUUCUGGAAUGGGUAAGUGUAUUCUGAUUUUCUUGAACUUUUCUUAAAAACAAAUUUUUCUUGCUAUUAAAGUUGAAUAAAUAGGAUUGGUUUCUUAGAGAGUAAAAGUAGGUGUUUCUUUCUUUAGACAAUGUACCUUUUCUGAAAAACUAACUCAUUAAGUACGGAUUUGCUAAUUUUAAGGUAGUAAAAUUACAGUGUAAAUAUUCCUGUACAUUUUUGGAAACUGGCUUAUGCAGUUUACGAAAUAUAAUUUUAGACCCUCUUUUAAGUUGGGUGAUAAAGUAGAUAUAACCUGAGAUGAUAGAUUUAAACAGGAUAUUUACGUUCUGCUACAAUUGACUGAUAACACUUGAAGUGUAGUCUGAACAGUAAUUUUGUUAAUCAUUUCAACAAGUAUUUGCUAAGUGGAAGCCAGAAGAGGAGGAAAAUGUUUUGCCACGUGGAUGUGAAGAUUUCCUCUAAAAGCAGGAAAAAAGAGAACAUCACCUUGUAAAACUGAAGAUUGUGACCAGUCAGAAUAAUGUCAAAGUGCUUACAGUGCAGGUAGUGAUAUGUGCAUCUACUGCAGUGAAGGCACUUGUAGCAUUAUGGUGACAGCUGCCUCGGGAAGCCAAGUUGGGCUUUAAAGUGCAGGGCCUGCUGAUGUUGAGUGCUUUUUGUUCUAAGGUGCAUCUAGUGCAGAUAGUGAAGUAGAUUAGCAUCUACUGCCCUAAGUGCUCCUUCUGGCAUAAGAAGUUAUGUAUUCAUCCAAUAAUUCAAGCCAAGCAAGUAUAUAGGUGUUUUAAUAGUUUUUGUUUGCAGUCCUCUGUUAGUUUUGCAUAGUUGCACUACAAGAAGAAUGUAGUUGUGCAAAUCUAUGCAAAACUGAUGGUGGCCUGCUAUUUCCUUCAAAUGAAUGAUUUUUACUAAUUUUGUGUACUUUUAUUGUGUCGAUGUAGAAUCUGCCUGGUCUAUCUGAUGUGACAGCUUCUGUAGCACUAAAGUGCUUAUAGUGCAGGUAGUGUUUAGUUAUCUACUGCAUUAUGAGCACUUAAAGUACUGCUAGCUGUAGAACUCCAGCUUCGGCCUGUCGCCCAAUCAAACUGUCCUGUUACUGAACACUGUUCUAUGGUUAGUUUUGCAGGUUUGCAUCCAGCUGUGUGAUAUUCUGCUGUGCAAAUCCAUGCAAAACUGACUGUGGUAGUGAAAAGUCUGUAGAAAAGUAAGGGAAACUCAAACCCCUUUCUACACAGGUUGGGAUCGGUUGCAAUGCUGUGUUUCUGUAUGGUAUUGCACUUGUCCCGGCCUGUUGAGUUUGGUGGGGAUUGUGACCAGAAGAUUUUGAAAAUUAAAUAUUACUGAAGAUUUCGACUUCCACUGUUAAAUGUACAAGAUACAUGAAAUAUUAAAGAAAAUGUGUAACUUUUUGUGUAAAUACAUCUUGUCUUGUUUUCAUUCAAAAACAUUUCACUUUUGGGGUUGCGUGUCAGAUUUGGCAGUAUAAAUUCUGGCUAUAUUUUUUGUUGUUAGAUUUAUUUGGCUGUUAAGUAUUGCGAUAUGACUAAACAUACUGUAUACCUGAUGAUCAUCUGUAAAGUUAGAGUAUAUCUUUUUGCUUUCUUUGGAGUUAGUGUUAUUCCAGGAUAUUUUACUUAAUCUAAAAGUUAAUUUAUGUUGCUCAUAUAUUACUCAAGUAUUUAAAUUUAGAGAGAAUGCCGCUCUGUUUAAAGCAAUGUGUAAAGAUGAGUUUUUUUAAGCAUGGAAUUUAGGGUUGGGGUACAAUUUGUUUCUAUUAAGCAAGUACCAGUUUACCAAUACAUGAGUAACUGAAGUGUAACUGUUAAAUGCUUGUAUACUAGUUUUUCUUUCUGAUUGUCAGUGAUUUAUAAGCUAUAAAUGACCAAGGUCCUCAGACUGCUUUUAGCAUCUGCAACUUAAAAAAAUGGGAGUUAGAAAAAGAACAAAUGCUAAAUAGAGUAACAGUUAAAUGUAUGUGUACACUCUUCCCAAAUGCCAAGAGUGCAGCGGUGGGGUGAGAUUCAGAUAUUCAUUUAUUUCUAAGUCUGUAGUUAACAUUUAUGUUCCCUACUCCCUACGUAAGCCAGACUUUGGCAACAGUGAUAGUUGAUUCCAGGCUUAUUUGACUUAAAGUCACUGAAGUGGAAACUAAGAAGUGGCAGUUAGUGUUUUACCCAGCAUUUCUGCCUUCUCUCUUUUCUUCAUGUGUUUUUGUCUCUAGCCUAUGUGUAUUUGUGUAGAAUAAUGUGGGAUACCUGAAUAAUAGAUUUAAAAGGACCAAGUGGUAAAAUUGGGCCCAAGCUGAAGUACAGGCAAACUUGAUGUUUGAAAGAUAAGUUUUGAGAAAUGUCAUUGUAUUUUGGAGUAAAAGAGGCUAUCUUAGUAAUAAGAAAUAAACUUCCAUAACACUAGGUUAGACCACCCAAUAAAUCUAGAAAUCAGCUUUUAAAAAUAUUGUCUGAAGUCUAACAAAAGUUUUCACCUCUAAUGUGUUCUUUAAGAAAUUUAAGGAACUUAGCCUUGGAUUCCUGAAUAGAAAGGUAAGAAUUCUAUCAUUCUGGAGUUGAUGAAAACAUAAAUUUUCAGGAUGUGAAAUGAACAGUGAUUUAUAAAAUGGAAAUCAAAUUGUACAUUAGCAGAGUUCUUAAGCUUUUUGAAUUGAAGGAGACCUAAUAAUUGUGUCUUUUUGGUUAUUUAGUGACAAACGUGGCUUUCAAACUAUGCUUAAAAAGUUCCGGCUGGACACGGUGGCUCACACCUAUAAUCCUAGCACUUGGGGAGGCUGAGGCAGACGGAUUACCUGAGGUCAGGAGUUCGAGACCAACCUGGCCGACAUGGUGAAACGCUGUCUCUACUAAAAAUAUAAAAAAUUAGCCGGGUGCAGUGGCGUGCACCUGUAAUCCCAGCUACUCUGGAGGCUGAGGCAGGAGAAUCACCUGAACCUGGGAGGUGGAGGUUUCAGUGAGCUGAGAUCCUGCCACUGCACUCCAGCCUGGGCGCAAGACCAAGACUUAAACGCAAAAAAAAAAAAAAAAAAAAAAAAAAAGUUUCAUAAUACAGCAUGGUCUGGUAGUUUGCAAAAUGGUGUGCUUUUGGGGAGAUACACUAGCAAUUUUUUUAAAAACUGGAACAGUGUGAUAGGAAGCCUGCUGGAUGAUUUCUUAAAUAUUCUAAAAUGUAAGUCAAAUAUGUUUUAAUAACAAAGACUUAAAUGGCUUUUCUCCCUAGAGACUGAAACUAGUAUUCAUUGUGUUCAGAACUUAAUUGGGCUUGAACUGAGAUUUAAAUCUAAUAAACAAGUUAAUAAAUGUGUAUGUUUUGUUGUGGGUUUGGUAGUGAUCUGUGGUUCUAUAGGGUUUAAUAGGAAUUGCUUUUGAUUUGUUUCUGGCUUUAGAAUGUGAGGCAAAUUUUACAUUCUUGGUUCUAUUAAGAUUUUCUUAGGCAUGCUAACAUGCCAACAAAAAGCCAUGUAAGUAUUGUAUAAAAAGAUUCACAUUGUUAAUUUAGCCAUUUUGAAAUUCAGAUGAGUGAGCAAGUUGAUAAUGGCCUCAUCUCUGACCUGAGAAAAAACAACUUUGACCCUUGUUCUUAAAAUGCUUUAACCUUGAAGUUGCUUGAGACUUAAGAGGUCAUGUUGCUUUAGGUUUAAUAAAUAGCCUUAACUAUUUGGAGGGGAAAAAAUGGGUCAACUUUUUUUUUUUUUUUUGGCGUUUGCAUGUACAACUUUCUAUUUUUAGCCUAUAUUUGGAAAGAAAGCACUUAACAUUUUAGGAAUUCUUUUUAAAGCUGCUUGCAAAGUGUUGGUGAUUUUACUGAAAACUUUUGAGAUCUUCAUUUUACAGGCAGACCUGUCUAACUACAAGCCAGACUUGGGUUUUCUCCUGUAGUUUGAAGACACACUGACUCCUGACAAAAUGCAGCCUGCAACUUCCUGGAGAACAACUCAGUGUCACAUUAAAGUUUAUUAUGUAUUUAAUGAUACACUGUUUAAUUGACAGUUUUGCAUAGUUUGUCUAACUUUAGAGAAUUAAGAGCCUCUCAACUGAGCAGUAAAGGUAAGGAGAGCUCAAUCUGCACAGAGCCAGUUUUUAGUGUUUGAUGGAAAUAAGAUCAUCAUGCCCACUUGAGACUUCAGAUUAUUCUUUAGCUUAGUGGUUGUAUGAGUUACAUCUUAUUAAAGUCGAAAUUAAUGUAGUUUUCUGCCUUGAUAACAUUUCAUAUGUGGUAUUAGUUUUAAAGGGUCAUUAGGAAAAUGCACAUAUUCCAUGAAUUUUAAGACCCAUAGAAAAGUUGAAGAAUGCUUAAUUUUCUUAUCCAGUAAUGUAAACACAGAGACAGAACAUUGAGAUGUGCCUAGUUCUGUAUUUACAGUUUGGUCUGGCUGUUUGAGUUCUAGCGCAUUUAAUGUUAAUAAAUAAAAUACUGCAUUUUAAAGCUGUUAAGAAAUUGUCCAGAACGAGAAUAUUGAAAUAAAAACUUCAAGGUUAUUAUCGCAGUUUUUAUGGCGUUUUUGUUUUGUCACUACAGAUGGUCUAAAGGUUACUUAUUAAUUAAUUGGGGAAGUGGAGACAAGGACCAAAGUUUAUCUGGAUUUUCUUAUUUAAUCUUCAUUACCUGUGAAAUAUGUAUUUGUAUUCUUACUUUACAUAUGAGAUCAGAAGUUCAUUUUCAAGCAGAAUGGAAAGGUGGUAAAUGGACUCUGAAUUAAAAUAUGUCAGUAUUUUAAAAGGUUAUCUUCUGCCUAGUAUUUUUAUGGAAUCUGACAAGUUCUCAGAUCACACUUGUUUCCUUAAAUCUUGGUAAGUCUGAAGCAUUCUUCAUUUUGUUUAUAUUAUACACGUUAGUAAGGUGGGAGUUCUUUUGUUUUUUGUGUUUUUUGGCCAGUUGAUAACAUGAAAGUUUAAGAGAGGAGGCCAAAGUAUAUAAAAAGUCUUAAACUCCUGCUUCUAAUAAAUGUCCAAUAUGUGUUGGCUCCUGGGUUGAGUGUUUAUUAAUGGGUCUGUACUAACUCUAAAACAUUAAAUAAGAAUGGUAUGUUCUGACCAGCCCUCAAAGUUCAGCCAUUUCUAAAAGUUCAAAAAAUCAUUGUAAAUAUUUUUUAAAUGAGGUACGAGAUUGUACCUGUCUAUGGCCAGUAACACAAGAAAUCUAGGCUCAUGCAGAGUUUUAGCAUAGUUGACCCUCAGUAUCAGUGGAGGGAUUGGUAGGACCCUCAGUGCAUACCAAAUUCUUCAGGUGCUCAAGUCCCUUAUGUAAAGUGGUGCAGUGUUUGCAUGUAAAUCUAUACAUGUCUUCUUGUAUGCUUUAAGCUGUCUAUAUAUUGCUUGAAUAAUCUGGUAAAAUAUCUUACAUAUUAUUCAUGUAGAUUCAGUAUAGUAUUUGCGUGUGGCAAAUUCAGGUUUGGCUUUUGGGGACUUCGUGAGAUUUUUUUUCCUGAGUAUUUUCAGUCUGUUUGUGGUUGGAUGCAGGAACCACAGAUACAUAGGGCUAACUUAAGUAAGUGCCGACAUAAAUGCGUUAGUCAUAGAGGUAAAUAACAAAGACCUGAGUUUGGUAGUAAGUUCCCCGAAAUGAAAUGUUAGUAUACUCCUAAGUGAUUAGUAAUUAGAUCUCAGGUUGAAUAUACUAAAUCCUUAAUAACUGCAUGUUUACUUUUAAGACCUAGAUUUGUCAGUAUAUUAGUAGAGGUGAGCAUGUACUAAUUGUUCACACUUGUUUAUAAAAGCAUAUAUACUGUGAAUUUUUAGUACGUUUAAUGUUGACUUCAACUUACAUAGACUGAAAAAGAUUGAAAAAAAGCUUCGACGACAUCAGUUCUGCACUUGUUGAGAUGUACUGAUCCAGAUGGAAUACCACACUGUUCAGCAGGUUGGGGUAACUAGAUGAGACUAGUGAAUGUUCCAAGAGUAGAUGAAAAUUGGGGUCCUGUAAGGUGGUGCUAGGAAUUCUAAAGUGAUUAUGCAUUUACCAAGAAAAGGUUCUUAACCAGUUGUCUUAAAAUUAUUAAGACGUAAAGACCUGGAAUCUUAAUCUAGCUGCACUAUAUUAGAGUCUUUGGGGCAGGAUGCUGCGCAGACAAGUAUUUUGAGAAAUACCUGUUGAUUUUGCUGUAUAUACUUAAGGAUAUAUCUACUACCCUGAAUUGUUGGAAAUGCUGAGCCAUAGGAAUGCAGAAGAACAUCAAAACACCUUAGAAUUUAUAUGCAGGAAAGAGACCAGUAAACUAUUUUUAUGGUUCAUGCAGUCAUUACUCAGUUUUAUAGCUGACUGACAAAAUAUGUGCCCCAACCCCACAUUUAUUUCUAAAUCCACAGGCUUUUCCUUACUCUUCAAUUUCAGUAACUUCCCUUUUUCUUCUCCAAUGAUACUUUGUUUUGGUAACAGCACCUAACAGGCCAGGUGUGUAGUUGUCUUUGUGCUAUACCUGUAUUUCCUUGGUUGGCUACUGUCACAGUGGCCACCAUCAUUCUGAACAAGUAAGGUGCACAAGGUACAAGCCAUGUCUUUAGACAUAGGUUAUCGUCAGCAUUUAGAUUCUCCUCUAAGGCUUUCAUCUAAAACUCCCUUGGUUUUGUGUUUAAAACUUAGUCCACAGUUUUCUAGUGUUACCCUCAGAAUAAUUGUCAAAAUUGUACUUUCUAAUACUCAAGAUUGCAUCUAAAUUUCAAGUUAGAAAAGAUGUUUAUGCCAUAUUCUGAGUGUCUUGUGUUUAUAACCUAUGAUUCUGCCCUUGACUGUACUUACGAAUACUCCUUUUAAAAUACGAAACUUGAUUGAGACCCCAGCUCAUUUACUGAUGUCUUAAUACAACUGCCUUUCCACUUAAGUGUUUUGGCUCCCCCAGUUCCUAUCAUUUAUCCUCUCCAGGCAGACUUCCACUUCAGACUGCAUUUGCUAUUCCCUUAGUUUGGGAACUUCCCACUCCGGAUACCUAUGACUUAGUCUUGUUUCCUUGUAGUCCUUGUACACAGAUGUCAGACUGGCUCUCCCUUAAACUGCAUACUCUGUUCCUGUUCUCUGCAUCAUCAUCCUGAAUUAGUGGCAUCACCUGGGAUAUUGGAAGUGCAGGUCCUUCCCACCCCCUUCCAAACCUGAAUUGGGAGCUUCGUUUUUUAAUCCCCCCAAUUAAUCUCUAAGAUAUAAGGCCUCCAAGGGCAAAGAUUUGAAGAUGUGUGGUUCAUGGAUGCUUAUUCAACAUCUAAAAUGGUACCUGGUGUGUAGAAGGCACUGAAUAGACUGAACAGGUAAGUGGAAAUGCCCGUGGGUGAAUGUUACUUCUAGGAUGAGACGGUCUGAAAGAGAAAAGCAAAACAAGACUAGUAUGGGGGCAAAGUGCAUUAUUGACGGUGUGGUAAAAAGUCAUUAGAGCAACGUUGGUGGAGCAAGAAAACAGAGUAAGUAAAAAGGAUUUGCUGUGUACAGUAAUCCCAGCAAAAAUGAAGGAAAGCCUAGAAGUGGGGGAUCAAGAAAAAAACCAACUGAUAGAUGCUCCAUUUGUGUGGAUAUGUAAUGUUCAUCUGUUGGAAGUAAAUGUAAAACCCAGCUUCUAAAUCUCAGAAAGCAACUGACAGCAGCAAUAGGGUGAAUGUGAAAGCACUGAACAAAGUAACAAAAGUGCUGAGAAGUUGUGCUUUGUGACAGAUUAGUUUUCAUGAUGUUGCGUGGAUGUGAGAAGGCUCUGCUAAUAGGUAUAGUCAGGUGUGUUUUUUUUUUCGGUUUGGUUUGUUCUCUGUAUUACUUUGAAAUUUAGACUAUCAAGUACCAGAAUACUAUAGUUUUCUAACUCAGGUUCACUCCCUGCAGAAGGUUCAGGAGUACAAGAAGCCCUGCACUGAAUCGUGGUGCCUCAAUUAAAUUUUGAGUUGUCCUUUUGGCUUCCUGAGACAAAACAACGUGUUAAACCAGUUACUUCGAGUGUGUGACAUGAGAAGAUGGAUGAUGAUAAAGAGAAGUUGAGAAAGGCACCUCAGAUUAAUUUUAGGAAACAAAUGUAAACUAAACUUGAAUUCUAUUCUCUUUGAGUCAUGUAAUACUUGGCUAAUCGGUUGAGAAGCUUAAAGAACUAUUUAAGAAGUCUUACAGUGUAAUGUUUAGGACGGAGAAUUCUGGGUUCAAGUACCAGUUUCCUCCAUUAAUAGCUUAGGCAACUUAAGUGUGUUGUCUUUCCCCAAAAAUUGUAAGCUUAGGUAGGCUUUCCCAUCUUGAUCAAAAAGGUAGCUAUCAUGUUCACAUCCAGCUGGAAAAUAAACCUUUCCUCAACUUCAAAGUGAAUUUUCAGCUCCACUCUGCCCACCUGAACUCGGUCUGAGGAACAAGAUUACAUUCAGGCUUGAGCUUUGUGUACCAUCUCUGUUGACAGUACCACUGAAAGUCUGUUCCCUUCCUGAAGCACACAGGAUACCUAGGCAGGAAAUUAGAAAUGAGUCCUACCUCAGGACCGCAAUCUGUCUUUUUCACUUUUUGGCUGUUAUGUUCUUCACCAAAUCACUCUUUGGGAAGUAAGCUGCAGAGUGAACUGAUGGAUGUCUAUGAAAAUAAACAUGCAUGACCCUGUAACAAAGCAUGUGUGUCCUCAAGAAGAUUGCAGGUGAUUUUCAGAUGAGUCUCAUGUCUGCACAGUGAGAAUUCAUAAAAUGAAGUGUUAACCAAUACUCAGAAAGUGAGUUCAGAGGGGGAAAUAACUGCUGCAGUACUGUGUGUGCUUGAUACACAUUAUGACAGGUAGGUAAUUAGAAGAGUCUUGUUACUGCAUCUAGUUUAGCAUACAUAAAUACAGUAAUUAGGUUGUUUUUUUAAAAAAGCAAUUUUGUCACAGAACGAUCCUUAGUAUGACGAAUCCAAUAUUUAAUAUUUUUUCCACCCCAAAAUGGAAUGUACAGUUUAGUACCAAGUGAAACCAUUCAGUCUUGGUUGAUUGAUAUUACUAUCAGAAUAAAUUAUUGGUUUUUUUGUUUAUAUAGGAGUUGAGGCAUUUCACUGCUGUAAAGUACUGUGCCUUCUUAAAAUGAUGAUGGAAUAUUGGAAUAUCAAAGACCCUAAACACAUUUUAUUCAUUUUAAAGACAUGUAAUCCUGCUGAUAUUUAAAGUCUAAUAUUUUAAUCAUAGGUCUGUCUCCAAAAGGAUGUCAUCUAAAAGCAAUUUUCAUAUUUUGUAUAGGGUUAUUGCUUUGUAUUGAUUUGGUUUAUAAAAAAGGGACAACAAUCCAUUUAGCAGUCAUGUAAUUCAAUUUUAAAUUAUAGGUUUCUUAAAACACAUCUGAUUCUGGAUAAUGAUAGGAUCUAGGAUAUGGAAGUAGUGAUGAGCCUUAAAAUGAAAAAAGACUACUAAUAAAGUGUUAAAGUUUGAUAAUUCAAUGAGGUUACAUUGCAGCAAUUAAGCAGGCAUGUUAUAUAAUGCCUAUUGUUGAGAAUGAGUUAGCCAUGACCUUUGCCCACUUUUAAAAAAAUACAAUGCUAAGCACAGAGCACAUGCUACAAAGAUGCUAAAGAAAAUUAUGAGAUUAAUGAUUGGUUUUUACACAUUAACCAUGUUGUAACAGCCUAAGUGCUACUGACGCUGUUCUGUCUUAGACUCAUCAAAUAAUUGGACCAAGUUUGAGGAAAUCAAUUUCUACUAAAUAGUUAACCAUAAGGUAUAUUUGUAUUAGCAAACAAAAUGCUUUCAAAAUGUUCCACUUUUGAAACUGUUUGAGUCUUUUAUGUUGACUCAAUGACUUUGUUUACAAAGGGAAACUGAAGUGGAGUUAAGCAAUUAUCUGGCAAAUUUGAUCACUGUACACAAUCACAGGGAAUACAACAAAUAAUAUUUUAGAAAAGUUGUUUGAUGACAUCACAGCUUCACUCCAUAGAUCUUUAGUAGUUUUGGGGUUUUUAUUUUUUGAGGAAUUGUUGGAAUUGCAAUAAUGCAUGUUUGCUUGCUUCCAUUUUUUCCCCUCCCCCCCAUAUUUGUAUCUCUAAAUAAUAUGUACAUGGUUAAGAAUUUAGUAAUUAUUAACCCUAUCUAUUCUUACAACACUUUAAGAAUUUGUAGACCUAUCUAGGUAGUCAGAAUACAUUUUGAGUUUCAGUUGAAUGUUUUACAUUCAUAUGGAAAACUCAGGGGCAAAAGUAAUUAUUUUAAAUAAUGGCAUACUUUGAAACAGUUGCUCAAGGCCAAGUUAUUUUCUAGCAGAUUUAUUAAGUUACUGCCCCGUAAACUUAACUGCCUAUUUAUUGGUCUAUAUUCAUAACAGUGUCUCUUAUUUCCUAGUCACCUCAAAUUAAAAGGAAUUUGUAAGGUACUUAUCUUGAAGCCAUAUUAGUUUGAGCAUUAAAUGUCUUUCAAAUAUUUUUUAAUCUCAUGAAUCCAUGCCCAAAGAACAGUAAGGAUGUGUAUGUAGCAAUAUAUUUUUAAAUAUUACCUGAAGAUUUUCCCCAGAUACCUCCCUUUACCUCAUGUCCUUUCUUCCAUUUUUUCAGUUCUUAUUCAGUCUCAUAAAAGGAAGAAAAAUAAGGAAUUUGCUUGGCUUUUGGAUUUCAACUGUUUCCCUUACUGGAAAAUGAAAAACAUGUGCAUAAACAAUACAGUAAAUUUAAAUGAUUGCAUAAGGAUCUCUAUAUGCCUGAAAGUCAUGCUUGAAAAGGCCUCCAGUUUGAACAAGAGACAACAUAGCAGUGACAUUCAUGGCCUGAUGUCCAAAGACCAGCAUAGAAAAAAAAAAGCCAUUACCCUUGCCCUGAAUAUGUGGGCUGAAAUUCAUUGUAACUGUGUACAGGAGAUUAGAGACAGAAGGCAAUAAGAAAGCACUGGAAGUGCUUGGUCCAGAAUCAUUUAAUAGUGUAUGGAUUAGAAAAGGAGGUGGUAGUUAGAUGGGAUUAAGAAACCGUGUUUGUUGCUAACAAGAACCCUAAAUUCUGCCACAAUACAGUGAGAGGAGACCAUGGUUUGAUCCCUAUUAACAGUAAUAGUGGAUACUGCUAAGAAAAACCCAGCUAAUUAUGCCGCCGCCUCCUCUGAAUCACUGCUGUCCCUACUGGUUUAGUUCCUUAGCAGAAACAAAGUAGUAAUAGACGAAUAAAUCUGCCCUGCUGCAGAAGUGCAUUAGAGAACAUGAAGGUAAUUUUAUUGGGUGAAAACCUGGAGAAUGGUUUUUUUAUAACCUUAAAAAAUCUUAUUGAGUGGCCUGAGUAAUUUUGUUACGAUUUACUCAGCCCUCCAUCCUUCCUGUAGGACUUGUGAAUGUCCUUGUUAACUAUUUAAAGAUGAUAAUGGUAGCUAACAAUUUUGUCAAGCAUUGAGUAUUCAUUUAAUCCUAACUCCAGUCUGAGGUAAUUGCUGUGAUAAUUAUUCCCAUUUUACAGAUAAGGAAACUGAGGCAGAGAGAGAUGUAGCGGACCAAGUUCACAAAGCUGAUAAAACAGAGGAACCAGGAUUUAAAUCUAGGUAGUUUGGCUCUAGCACAAGUUCUCUUAACUGCUGUAUUGCCUUUCAGUCCAGCUUAUACAUUUUGAUAACUAUGCUAACAAAAUCCAAGGAAAUAGCAACAAAAUAUUAACAUUAGUUAUCACUGAACAGAAAAAUUUGGAGUUUUAGUAUUUUGAGUUUAUACCUUUCCCAAAUGUUAUAGAAUAAUCGCAUUCCUGUUACGAUCAGAAAAAAAUACUUUAAAAUGAGCAUAAUUUUUAUGAAAACUAGGGAGAGAAUUACAUAAAAUAUUCUCACAAGAAAGACUGGGAGAAAUACAUGCAAAAAGGUCUGUUGCAGUGUUACCUGUGUAGUGAAAUUUUCAGUCAUUUUUUCUUCUGUACUUUAUUUUUUGGUAUUUGAUUUUAAACCUGUAGUUUUUUUUUUAAUGCUAAAAAAUAUACAAUCAUCUUUAU